AAAAAAAGAAAAAAAAAGAAAAAAAUAAAAAAAUAAAAAAAAAAGAAGAGAAAGGCACCAUCUGGCUUUGCCCUUCCCACAGAAAUGUCAGGCUUUUGACUUGCUCUGGAAGUGUCCAGAAGCCACACAUCAGGACUGGGAGACUCAGAAGUGGGAUCCUGGGGAAUGCUCUUUCAAGUGAGCAGCUUUCCAAGAAAAUCAUACCUGAAGUGUGUGCAUGUCCUGGAAGACCUUGUAAGGACUGGAAUCUGAAACCUUCUUCAUCUGGAACUUCUACAGUCUGGUUUUCCACUACAUCAGUGCAAGCAAAUUACCAGGGAAAAACAUGGCCCAGAACAGUUUUCUCACAGUAAGGAAUGUGGAAGGUUAACCCCAGAUGUGCCUCCAUCUCUACAAAGUAGCAGAUGGCAAAG
This is a long non-coding RNA of Coturnix japonica (Japanese quail), 413 nucleotides long. RefSeq lists it as uncharacterized. Lineage: Eukaryota; Metazoa; Chordata; Aves; Galliformes; Phasianidae. The record is from RefSeq and is a predicted model, not a curated record.